GACGAACGCUGGCGGCGUGCUUAACACAUGCAAGUCGAGCGGUAAGGCCUCUUCGGGGGUACACGAGCGGCGCACGGGUGAGUAACACGUGGGUGACCUGCCCUCAGCUCUGGGAUAAGCCUGGGAAACUGGGUCUAAUACCGGAUAUGACCUUUCCUCGCAUGGGGUUUGGUGGAAAGUUUUUUCGGCUGGGGAUGGGCCCGCGGCCUAUCAGCUUGUUGGUGGGGUGAUGGCCUACCAAGGCGACGACGGGUAGCCGGCCUGAGAGGGCGACCGGCCACACUGGGACUGAGACACGGCCCAGACUCCUACGGGAGGCAGCAGUGGGGAAUAUUGCGCAAUGGGCGGAAGCCUGACGCAGCGACGCCGCGUGGGGGAGGACGGCCUUCGGGUUGGAAACCUCUUUCGACCCCGACGAAUUUGGACGGUAGGGGUAGAAGAAGCACCGGCCAACUACGUG
This 460-nucleotide ribosomal RNA is filed under the name uncultured bacterium. Its description in RNAcentral is "partial 16S ribosomal RNA". It matches the Rfam family "Bacterial small subunit ribosomal RNA", at positions 28 to 507 of the family's 1533-position model. The record is from RNAcentral.